This 250-nucleotide ribosomal RNA is filed under the name uncultured bacterium. RNAcentral's name for it is "partial 16S ribosomal RNA". It matches the Rfam family "Bacterial small subunit ribosomal RNA", at positions 524 to 773 of the family's 1533-position model. The record is from RNAcentral.
UACGUAGGGUGCGAGCGUUAAUCGGAAUUACUGGGCGUAAAGCGUGCGCAGGCGGUUCGCUGUGUCGGAUGUGAAAGCCCCGGGCUCAACCUGGGAACGGCAUUCGAAACUGGCGGGCUGGAGUGUGGCAGAGGGGGGUGGAAUUCCGCGUGUAGCAGUGAAAUGCGUAGAGAUGCGGAGGAACACCGAUGGCGAAGGCAGCCCCCUGGGCUGACACUGACGCUCAGGCACGAAAGCGUGGGGAGCAAAC